CCCCUGCAGAGGGCCAGGCAACUGCUGGACUACUGCUAACUACUGAACGGUGCUUAACGACCACUGACCACUGGCUGGAAGGCCAACCAGAGAGCCCAGGGGAGCCGUCAGCGGCUAGGGGCCAAGAAGGGGCAGCCACUGCAAUCCCGCCCAGCGACAGAGGAAAAACCGCGGGAGGGUCUGCAGGCCCCACUGCCGGCUCAAGUCAGUCGUCUCCAGGCCGGGUGGAAAGAGAGGCCAGACAGGAGCCUGGACCUCUGCUGGGGAAGGACCGGGGACUGAGAGGACAGUGCUCAGCCUUGUCCUUGAAGGUCUAAUGAUUUUUGGCUGAAUACUGCACAUUCUGUAAAGACUCUGGAUUCUGUUGUCUUCCUCUGAAGACUGUUGGCUCUUCUUUUAGCAGCCAUUCGAUCACUGGACCUGUGUAGGCUUGUUUUCACGCUUUGUUGGUGUCGAUCUGUGGAACGCCCGGUGUUUCCAAAGCCCCUCAACUUGGUAAGAUUCAGCUUCAACCUGGUUCCCCUACGGCUCCUUGUGAGGCUCAUCUUUAUCUUUUCUUAGAUGGGCCUGGAGUAAGUUGUAGUCUUUUCUCCUAAAAAGUAAGUAAGAAGGUCUCUCCCCUCUGGCCAGGCCCACAUGCCAGUGCUGCCCAGCACAGCUGGUCUUGCAGCAUUUUUGUUCCCAUCUCAAUGCAUGGCAACCCCCAAGGAGUCCUGCCCUUGCAUGACCUCUUCCCCUGAGUGCAGAAGGGACCUGUGGCUUGCAUCUAGCCAACAGACUAUGGCCAAGGUGGUGAGCCAUCACUCCCCUGACUGGCCUACGUUGGCAGACUGGAACAAGAGACUCCCUCCUGGCCUUGAAGAAGUAAGCCACCAGGUUGUGAGAAGGCCUGUGAGGGGUCACGUGUCAGGCUGCAGGCAGCCUUUGAGAGCUGAGGGUGGCCCCUGGCUGUCCACCAAGAAAGCAGGGACCUCUGUCCUAUAGCCACAAGGAAACAGAUCAGCCAACAGCCACAUGACCUUAGAAGAGGACCCCAAGCCUCAGAAGAAACACUGACACCUUGUUUGCAUGCUUUUGAAACCCGCACCUGGACCCCUGACCCUGUAUGUUUUUAAGGCCACUAAAUUUGUGGCAAUUCGUUAUGCAGCCAUAGACAACUAGUGCACAGCCCACAGUGGCUGCUGUCUGGUAAGCCUCCAGUGGCCUCCCCUGACCCUCAGCCACAGACUGAGGGGACCCCAUAUGAACUUCCAGGCCCCUGAGCAGCUCCCCACCCUUCAGCUCCCCAGGACUCCACCCCCAGCCGCUGGGCUCACCUGCACACCAUGCUCUGCUGCAGCAGCGCGGCCAGAAGACUGUCCCCCGGGGCUGGCAUGCGUGGGCCCACCAGAGCUCCCUCCCCGUCCACCUUACCCUCUCCCCACUGGAGCGGCUGCUGCCGUCUUGGGUCCAGUGCCAGCGCUCUUUAUGGAAUAGGGAUGGCCUGCUAUUUGCCGCUUCUCCACGAUUAUCUGAAGGAAUUUAAACUUACAGAAAAGUUGCUGGAGUCGUACCAAGGACACUGCCUCGUGCCCUCCGUCCACACGCGCCGCUUCUUCCUCUUUGCUCCCUUGCCUUCCCCAUCCUCUUUCUCUGCGUGUGUCUGGUUAUAUUCUUUGUUCUGAACUGUUUGAGAAAAGGUUGCAUAAAUCAUUGCCUUUACUCCUUACUGCUUCAGUGUAUAAUUCCAGUGGGCACAGUACUUCUGCCUACAGUCCCUGUUCUGAGCGCGUCAGCUGUCCCAACCAGACUUUCGCAGCUCUAUUGUUUCCCAAUCCAGGGUCACAUGUCGGUUUCACUCAUCAAGCCUCUUAGUCUCCUUAAU
Molecule: long non-coding RNA, 1864 nt
Organism: Equus asinus (donkey)
Lineage: Eukaryota; Metazoa; Chordata; Mammalia; Perissodactyla; Equidae
Source: Ensembl